AGUUUACCAUGAACGAAUAAGGGCGCGUCAAUGACAAAAUUCCAUGAAGGUCAUCAAGCGUAGAAGAGAAACAAACCAAACGGCUGAAAUAUCACGUACAAAAAAAGUUUAUAUCCCAAGGCAUCGCUCUGCCCAAGGCUGCGAGCGUAUCCUGUUUCUAAGUUGCUUUUAUCCUUUUUUUGUUCCCCCAGUGUGUUGACCCCGAUCAAAACUCGCUGAAAAAGCAGCUGCAACAACAAAAAAAUAUCGUUUCCCUGGGACUGACUCAUAAAAGAACUUUAUGACAAAGGAAAAUGUUCUCGAAACUUCUGAAACCGGAAAUGGCUUUCUUUUUUCCUCGAAACUUCCCAAAAAAGGAAAUGUUCCGUUCUGAUUGGUCGGCUUUUUACCCUUCCCCAGAUGCUGACUCGGAGACUCGCAUAGACGCGUAGAAAGCGUGACGAACUUGCAUAGGAACAGUGGACUGGGAUGGAGUAUAAAAAGGCCCCCCUGACGAUGCUACAGUACUUCAUUUUCUACAAGCAACCGUCGAGGCGAAAAGUGCUUCUAGAGUCUCCUAUUUUUGAAUCGCAACUUGUUCUUCGUGACUGCACAUCGCUGCACAUCGACAGGAAUGGACGGAGACUGUUUCAUAAAUUCUUGCUUUUCUUCGAUGAGCAACUCGACUGCUGAACUCACAAACAUUUCUGGAACAAACGCAGCUUCAAAAAAAUACGCAGAUCCUAAACUGAAUGCGGUAUGUAAAGUUAUGAUAGAGCGCCUUCGCCUUCCCAUCGAUUUCGAAAAAUCAUAUACAUAUCGUUCAACGAAAAAACCGCGCGUUUUUACCAUCUUUUCGGAUUCUGAAGAAGAAAUGGAGUCAAAAAUGGUAAACUUGAAAAAAACCAAGGAAAAAGUGCCAAUUAAAGGUACUAAACGACUCCUUCGGUUGUCUGAUUCUGAAGAUGAAGCAAUAACCCACAAAGACAAAAAGAGGAUCGCUCUAAACGAUUUACGUUUAGAGCCAUCGAAAAUGUCUUCAGAAUUUGUAACGGAGAAGUCGCUAAACACUCCAGAAGGAUUACGUGUCAUACGGCGAACAACUUCAUCGAAAGACGAAGAAAAUAUAACAUGCUUGACGCAAUAUCUACAAACAAAAAUUGAAGAAAUAACUCUUAGUUCCGACGAGGAAGAUUCAGAACCGAUACCACCAGUUUUGGUGCCAUUUGAACCUGAUUCCCCAUCAGAUACUGAAUCAAGUGCCAGCUCUACAGAUUGUGAUAUGCCAUCGAUAUCGCUACACUCCAACAUCACACCACCUGCUGUCGCAAGCCAAGAAGAAGAAAAAGAAUUAUCCGAAUCAAUUGAAACAAAGGAAGAAAAAUUAAAAAAUCUUCUUGCUUCUGGUAGGUUCAAAUCAAAAGAAAAAUCAACUAAACCAACAAGACCUCGGCCUUUUGUUAGCAGACGAGGGAAAAAAUUUCGCCAAAACGAAUCUACCAACUUCAAAAAGAAAAAGCCGUCAACGCUGAGACAUAAAAUUGAAGAAGAUCAGGAUCUAACAAGUUAUAACAAUUCUGUUAGACUGGCGCACCAAAAAAAUGGAUCUUCCACCACAUCCGGUGUUAACUUUCAGCCUGUUACUACAAUGGGGAAAAAAUUGCAUGAACCAAUUCCAACUUACAAACCAUUGAUUCCACAACCGCGUCCAGUAAAGGCAAAAUCAACCGCCACAUCUCGUAAUGACAAGUUGGCUGCUGAUUUGAUGAAAAGCAAAAACCAAUCCAUUAAAGAAAAGAAAGAAACCCCCAACGCAGCAUGGUCCUCAAAUUAUGUUAUUCCUCGCAAAGCGACGAAAACCAUAGAUUCUGGGUCGAAGGCUGAUUCGUCUAAAGGAAAACAUCCGUCUGAAGACGCCGAACUACUCACAAAUUCUGCAAGUGCAUCAAACGACAUUACUCCUUCCUUCAAGCCAGUGGUUAAUCGAGUAGCUAGAGGUACCGAGAAAGGAACUGAGAAACAACAUACACGACAACCUACAGCCAGUGCUACAGCCAACCGAGCCUUAAAUUCGAUCUUAAAUCUUGGUCGCUCACGUGAUGGUUCUUACGGGAAGAAAAGGUCCCUCUGCUUAUAGAUAUGAGAAAGUAGGAGAGCACCAAUUUAAACUUAAGAGCAUAGAUAGAUCCUCUUAGUUUACAAAUAUGCAACGCAAUAAUUAACUGCAGAAAACUCAAUUGGGAUAACUGGCCAAAAGUAGGAGGGGCAACCCAAAAAAAUUCCAUUACCGAGAAACCAUUACUUUUUUAAAAUCCAUUUUCCCAUUAUACCUAAAUAAUAAUAAUUAAAAAAAAAACGCAAUGAACCGUUCUGUUGGUUAAAAAAAAAAAUACUUACCUGCAAUUAUAUGAUUUCUUAUGUGUCGCUCGUAUGUUGUAUUCCGUUGGAUCCGCGAUUCUAUUUGAAAAAUUCCACUUAAAAAGAUAUUAUCAAGAACAGAGAAACAAUGUUGGAUAAAAUGUUAAUCGCAUCAGUGCAUUACAUUAUGUUUCGAACUUAUGAUUAUUGUAUUAGUUAUGCCUUAUUGAAAAUAAACUCUGGAUAUGCUUAAAACAAAAUCCCAUUGCUACUGCUCCCUACUGCUAUUGUGACAUCAAUAUUUUCAUAGCGAACAAAAUCAAGGAUUGAAAUAUGUGAUCACUGAAGGACAGUUUAGCCUUUCCACUAAAAUAACAAUCCAUUUCGAAAUGAAGUAAAAAUUUUCCUGUUCACGGCAGAUAUACGUAUGCAUUGUAUGCAAGGUUAAACGCCUCAUUUCAUAUCUUAUCUCGCUUUUGGUGAAGUGAUUGCGUUAUCUGUGAAGAGUGAAGUAAAUUGCUAAAGCCUGUUAGUGUGUAUAGUAUUCGUGUUACCUGUGAGUACAGAUUUAAAUGGUGGAAAAUAAAAAUCAGUUUCGUAUAUUGAGGUGAAACCAUGAAAUGGUCAUUCUUUCUAUUCUUGCGUUUGUCUGCGUAAUCAAGUUGGCAGGAGGCACACAGGUAUUCUGGGAAUUACCGAAUUGUAACGCAAUCGCUGAAUAUAACGGCCACACAUUAAAAAUAGAGAGGGCAUGCGAACAAGCAUCCUCGUUAUAUACUUUCCUCCUUUACCAAACAGUAGGGUUUAAAACGGAAUGUCAAUGGACCAGCUUUACUAGACAAAGUUUUUCUAUCUGUGAGAGUUUAACAACAUUGCCACAG
RNAcentral lists this unclassified non-coding RNA (3218 nucleotides) under Daphnia pulex (common water flea). RNAcentral describes it as "uncharacterized LOC124188321, transcript variant X5". The record is from RNAcentral. Lineage: Eukaryota; Metazoa; Arthropoda; Branchiopoda; Diplostraca; Daphniidae.